CAGUCGCGUCUGCUGGGACUCAGCCUUGCUUUUGCGUGGUGUACUUUCUAGUUGACGGGUCAGCAUCAAUUUUGACUGCUGGAAAAAGGCUUGGGGAAUGUGGCAGCUCCGGCUGUGUUAUAGCCCUUUGCCACAUACAGCGGUUGGGAUUGAGGAACUCAGCACGCCGCAAGGGCCGGGUUUCGACCACGUUCGUGCUUAGGAUGCUGGCAUAAUGGCUUUAAGCGACCCGUCUUGAAACCGGACCAAGGAGUCUAACAUGUGUGCGAGUGUU
RNAcentral lists this ribosomal RNA (274 nucleotides) under Diversispora epigaea. The record is from RNAcentral. Lineage: Eukaryota; Fungi; Glomeromycota; Glomeromycetes; Diversisporales; Diversisporaceae.